Passer montanus (Eurasian tree sparrow) is the source of this 1915-nucleotide RNA transcript. RefSeq lists it as uncharacterized. The transcript is spliced from 2 exons. The record is from RefSeq and is a predicted model, not a curated record. NCBI's taxonomy places the organism in Eukaryota, Metazoa, Chordata, Aves, Passeriformes, Passeridae.
AUGCCAAUACUACCCAAGAAACACAACUACUGUGUAAGCAAUGCCUACUCAUACACCCUUUUCAGAGUCUUACAUAAAAAUAGUCAUGUCUCUCAAGAGCACAGCUCUUCUAAUGUGAGAGAAAACACUUCAGAAUGGUAGAAACAUCAGCACUAAUAAACCAGAUUUGUAAAGGGAUACCUGAGAACUACAAGGGCUUCUUGGAUGUCACGGAGCUUCAGUAAAAAGAACAUCUGUUAUACCUGUACCUUGUACUGCAUCUGUCCCUACCAAUGUUACUUGCCAGUUUCUUAUUUUGGCUUCUAAUGGGCUUUGAAGGGUUUUGGAUUACCUGAAGUACUUGCACCAACUCUUAACAUUCACUCAUUAUUUGAGAAUGCAUGAAUGCUGUUCAACAAAACAGGACUUUGUGUGUCAGUAUCUAGUAUCCCUCACUGGAGACAACUUAACUGACUCUAACACUAUUAAUCAUCUGCAAGAUAGAAUACAGCUAUUUUAUUCCAAUAAAGGUAUUUUUCAGAGUGACUCAAAAGGCAAUCUGAAACAAAAUCAGUGAAAAUGUUCUAGGAAGAAUUAUGGACAUAGUAAAAAUGGAACUCCUAAUAAGGAAACCAAUGACCACAAAAAUCAACCUAACCCAGAACUGUCUCUUAUCAGUAAUAAUGGAGUAAAUUCAAAGAACAGAGAUAUGCUACUCCAAUUCUAGCACACAAGGUGACUCUGAAGAACUCAGUUUGAAGACAGAAAAUUUUAUCUAAGUGAGACUUCAGAGCAAGAAGAAACCACUUUCUGUGCAACAGGUCCAAGUCAGAGCUAUAAACAGCUGCAAGAGAAUGUGCUGGCAUCAAGGUCUAAGGUCAUGAAAAUUACCCCAAAAUAGACAAAACCAUGCCAUCUAAUUCUCACUCAAAUACACAGCUGGCAGAAAAAAUGGACUCCAAUUCAUUUUGUGACAAAGUGCAGGUGAUGCUGGUCAAGAACUGCUAAAGACUGUAUCACCACUGGGUUCCAAACCACCACCACAGUUUGAAAAAGAUACAAAAAUGUACCCGAUCAAUUGGAAAUCACAAGCUGCAGAAGAGACACAGUCAGCUCAGAGACAUUGCAAUGCAACAAGUCACCUUGUGAACAACUGGCAAAGACUGCAUUAGCUGCAGGUUCAAGAGACAAUAUUACUAUUUUGAUCAUACUUAUAAAUGGAUGUGAUAAGAUACCCAAUUACCUCAACAUUUAAAGAUUUAUCAUAGGAUAACUGGAGUGCCACAAUAUAUAAAGGACAAGCUUAUAUUUAGCUAUGCCAUGAAUUUAUUGUAAGCAUCUUAAAUGCUGACCCAUACAGUGAAACAGACAAUCUUGUCUGGAGCUGUACAAAUGCAGUAAAACCUCCUGAAACUCUCAAUAAGAACCAGUAAUCAAAAUUUUUUUAAACCACUUUAUUCAAACCUGAGCACCUCAAUAUAAAACUAAACACUGGUGAACUGUCAUUUUUCUUGCUAAACCCAGAUUACUGCAAAUUUAAAAUCUGCACAAGUAAGUUUCUAUCAGUUCAACAUUUAAAUAGACUAAUUCAUCUCUUCUGACACACUUUGUAGAUUUCAUAUAAUGAAAAUAACUAAAAGAAUUAGUGCAAUAUACUGGACUGAUCAAAAUAAAAUGUACUUUGGAAAACAAAGUUGCGAAGUUCAUUACUGACAGACAGCAGUACUUAUGUUACAGAUACAGGAGCAUCAUUUAUUACUGUUCUAGCCAUAAAGGAAGAACUCAGAACCCCCUUUGAUUAGAGAGGAAAAAAAGUUAGCUUUAAGUAACUGUACAUUCUGUAUACCUUUAAGCAACUCUUAAAUAUUACAGAAAGUAUUAAACAAAUGUAGACUACAAUGCAGAGUACCUAUUUACAGUACAUUAAUAUCCAAAU